Molecule: long non-coding RNA, 486 nt
Filed under: Sinocyclocheilus grahami
Lineage: Eukaryota; Metazoa; Chordata; Actinopteri; Cypriniformes; Cyprinidae
Description: lncRNA (ENSSGRG00000017282.1)
Source: RNAcentral
CAAUAUGUGGUAUGUGGGGCUACAGAUUUUAUCUGAACCUGUCAGACUGAAAUCUGAAGAUUUGUGGUCACAUGCUGCUGACCAGAGCUCAGAAUCCCAUGAUGUUCUGCAUUCUGUGGGAGGAGUUUCUUUUAUCUGUCUGACAUCCUCCUUAUAAAGGAGCUGUAAGGAGCUACUUUGGCUCAUUUGGCUCCCAACAUCACAUCACAUCAACUGCAACAGUCAUUCAGUCACCUGAAGAAGAGUUUAUUCAACAAUGGAGUCCUCACGACGUUUAUACAUCCACAUACCAGAUGAAUAUGAAGAAUUUCUAAUAUCUGGUGAAUGGGACCAUGGGAUUGUUGUUAGAGAUUUGAAUCCAUGUUUGACAGACAGUGAGUUUCACAACUACUUUGAAAAAUUUGGGACAAUUACAGAAUGUGAAGUAAGUACUUUUAUAAUUGAAAACUUUUAACAGGGCAGAUAUAUGUUAUAUGGAAUGUUAUU